AGGUUAAGUGAAUAAGGGCGCACGGUGGAUGCCUUGGCACUAGGAGCCGAUGAAGGACGGGACUAACACCGAUAUGCUUUGGGGAGCUGUAAGUAAGCUAUGAUCCAGAGAUUUCCGAAUGGGGGAACCCAAUAUCUUUUAUAGGAUAUUACUUUUCAGUGAAUACAUAGCUGAUUAGAGGUAGACGCAGAGAACUGAAACAUCUUAGUACCUGCAGGAAGAGAAAGAAAAUUCGAUUCCCUGAGUAGCGGCGAGCGAAACGGGAAGAGCCCAAACCAACAAGCUUGCUUGUUGGGGUUGUAGGACUCCGAUAUGGUAGUCUGUUAGUAUAGUUGAAGGAUUUGGAAAAUUCCGCUAAAGAGGGUGAAAGCCCCGUAGACGAAAUGCUGACAACACCUAGGAGGAUCCUGAGUACGGCGGAACACGAGAAAUUCCGUCGGAAUCCGCGGGGACCAUCCCGCAAGGCUAAAUACUCCCUAGUGACCGAUAGUGAACCAGUACCGUGAGGGAAAGGUGAAAAGCACCCCGGAAGGGGAGUGAAAUAGAUCCUGAAACCGUGUGCCUACAACAAGUCAAAGCUCGUUAAUGAGUGAUGGCGUGCCUUUUGUAGAAUGAACCGGCGAGUUACGAUUGCAUGCGAGGUUAAGUCGAAGAGACGGAGCCGCAGCGAAAGCGAGUCUGAAUAGGGCGAAUGAGUAUGUAGUCGUAGACCCGAAACCAUGUGAUCUACCCAUGUCCAGGUUGAAGGUGCGGUAAAACGCACUGGAGGACCGAACCCACGUACGUUGAAAAGUGCGGGGAUGAGGUGUGGGUAGCGGAGAAAUUCCAAACGAACUUGGAGAUAGCUGGUUCUCUCCGAAAUAGCUUUAGGGCUAGCCUCGGAAUUGAGAAUGAUGGAGGUAGAGCACUGUUUGGACUAGGGGCCCAUCUCGGGUUACCGAAUUCAGAUAAACUCCGAAUGCCAUUCAUUUAUAUCCGGGAGUCAGACUGCGAGUGAUAAGAUCCGUAGUCGAAAGGGAAACAGCCCAGACCACCAGCUAAGGUCCCAAAAUAUAUGUUAAGUGGAAAAGGAUGUGGGGUUGCACAGACAACUAGGAUGUUGGCUUAGAAGCAGCCACCAUUUAAAGAGUGCGUAAUAGCUCACUAGUCGAGUGACCCUGCGCCGAAAAUGUACCGGGGCUAAACAUAUUACCGAAGCUGUGGACUACACCAUUAGGUGUAGUGGUAGGAGAGCGUUCUAAGGGCGUUGAAGGUCGAUCGUGAGGACGGCUGGAGCGCUUAGAAGUGAGAAUGCCGGUAUGAGUAGCGAAAGACAGGUGAGAAUCCUGUCCACCGUAUGACUAAGGUUUCCUGGGGAAGGCUCGUCCGCCCAGGGUUAGUCGGGACCUAAGCCGAGGCCGAUAGGCGUAGGCGAUGGACAACAGGUUGAUAUUCCUGUACUAGUUGUUUUUGUUUGAGCAAUGGAGGGACGCAGUAGGCUAAGGAAUGCAUGCGAUUGGAAGUGCAUGUCCAAGCAAUGAGUCUUGAGUAGAGUUAAAUGCUUUACUCUCUAAGGACAAGUUGUGACGGGGAGCGAAAUAAUAGUAGCGAAGUUCCUGAUGUCACACUGCCAAGAAAAGCUUCUAGUGAGAAAACAACUGCCCGUACCGUAAACCGACACAGGUAGUCGAGGAGAGUAUCCUAAGGUGAGCGAGCGAACUCUCGUUAAGGAACUCGGCAAAAUGACCCCGUAACUUCGGGAGAAGGGGUGCUGACUUCGGUCAGCCGCAGUGAAUAGGCCCAAGCGACUGUUUAUCAAAAACACAGGUCUCUGCAAAAUCGUAAGAUGAAGUAUAGGGGCUGACGCCUGCCCGGUGCUGGAAGGUUAAGAGGAUGGGUUAGCUUCGGCGAAGCUCAGAAUUGAAGCCCCAGUAAACGGCGGCCGUAACUAUAACGGUCCUAAGGUAGCGAAAUUCCUUGUCGGGUAAGUUCCGACCCGCACGAAAGGCGUAACGAUUUGGGCACUGUCUCAACGAGAGACUCGGUGAAAUUUUAGUACCUGUGAAGAUGCAGGUUACCCGCGACAGGACGGAAAGACCCCAUGGAGCUUUACUGUAGUUUGAUAUUGAGUGUUUGUACCACAUGUACAGGAUAGGUAGGAGCCGAUGAGACCGGAACGCUAGUUUCGGAGGAGGCGCUGGUGGGAUACUACCCUUGUGUUAUGAACCCUCUAACCCGCACCACUAAUCGUGGUGGGAGACAGUGUCAGAUGGGCAGUUUGACUGGGGCGGUCGCCUCCUAAAAGGUAACGGAGGCGCCCAAAGGUUCCCUCAGAAUGGUUGGAAAUCAUUCGAAGAGUGUAAAGGCAGAAGGGAGCUUGACUGCGAGACCUACAAGUCGAGCAGGGACGAAAGUCGGGCUUAGUGAUCCGGUGGUUCCGCAUGGAAGGGCCAUCGCUCAACGGAUAAAAGCUACCCUGGGGAUAACAGGCUUAUCUCCCCCAAGAGUCCACAUCGACGGGGAGGUUUGGCACCUCGAUGUCGGCUCGUCGCAUCCUGGGGCUGUAGUCGGUCCCAAGGGUUGGGCUGUUCGCCCAUUAAAGCGGCACGCGAGCUGGGUUCAGAACGUCGUGAGACAGUUCGGUCCCUAUCCGUCGCGGGCGUUGGAAAUUUGAGAGGAGCUGUCCUUAGUACGAGAGGACCGGGAUGGACUUACCGCUGGUGUACCAGUUGUUCUGCCAAGGGCAUUGCUGGGUAGCUAUGUAGGGAAGGGAUAAACGCUGAAAGCAUCUAAGUGUGAAGCCCACCUCAAGAUGAGAUUUCCCAUUUCUUUAAGAAAGUAAGACCCCUGAGAGAUGAUCAGGUAGAUAGGUUGGAAGUGGAAGGCUAGUGAUAGUUGGAGCGGACCAAUACUAAUCGGUCGAGGACUUAACCAAA
RNAcentral lists this ribosomal RNA (2915 nucleotides) under Enterococcus faecalis. RNAcentral describes it as "bacterial LSU rRNA". It matches the Rfam family "Bacterial large subunit ribosomal RNA". Lineage: Bacteria; Bacillati; Bacillota; Bacilli; Lactobacillales; Enterococcaceae. The record is from RNAcentral.